GACGUAGGAGGCGAGCGUUAUCCGGAUUCACUGGGCGUAAAGCGCAAGUAGGCGGUUGUGAAAGUCCGUUGUUAAAGCCCCUGGCUCAACUGGGGGAGGUCAAUGGAGACUUUAUGACUUGAGGGCAACAGAGGCAUGUGGAACUCCCGGUGUAGCGGUGAAAUGCGCAGAUAUCAGGAGGAACACCAAUGGCGAAGGCAGCUCGCUGGGACGUGACUGACGCUGAGACGCGAAAGCGUGGGGAGCAAACAGG
Molecule: ribosomal RNA, 253 nt
Filed under: uncultured bacterium
Lineage: Bacteria
Description: partial 16S ribosomal RNA
Rfam family: Bacterial small subunit ribosomal RNA
Source: RNAcentral